GGAAGAAGCUCGCUUCUUUGCUGACGAGUGGCGGACGGGUGAGUAAUGUCUGGGAAACUGCCUGAUGGAGGGGGAUAACUACUGGAAACGGUAGCUAAUACCGCAUAACGUCGCAAGACCAAAGAGGGGGACCUUCGGGCCUCUUGCCAUCGGAUGUGCCCAGAUGGGAUUAGCUAGUAGGUGGGGUAACGGCUCACCUAGGCGACGAUCCCUAGCUGGUCUGAGAGGAUGACCAGCCACACUGGAACUGAGACACGGUCCAGACUCCUACGGGAGGCAGCAGUGGGGAAUAUUGCACAAUGGGCGCAAGCCUGAUGCAGCCAUGCCGCGUGUAUGAAGAAGGCCUUCGGGUUGUAAAGUACUUUCAGCGGGGAGGAAGGGAGUAAAGUUAAUACCUUUGCUCAUUGACGUUACCCGCAGAAGAAGCACCGGCUAACUCCGUGCCAGCAGCCGCGGUAAUACGGAGGGUGCAAGCGUUAAUCGGAAUUACUGGGCGUAAAGCGCACGCAGGCGGUUUGUUAAGUCAGAUGUGAAAUCCCCGGGCUCAACCUGGGAACUGCAUCUGAUACUGGCAAGCUUGAGUCUCG
RNAcentral lists this ribosomal RNA (587 nucleotides) under uncultured bacterium. RNAcentral describes it as "bacterial SSU rRNA". It matches the Rfam family "Bacterial small subunit ribosomal RNA", at positions 71 to 651 of the family's 1533-position model. The record is from RNAcentral.